ACUGGGCGUCGUGGCGGGCGCCUGUGAGCCAGCUUCCAGGCAGUAGAUUGGUGUGGAUGGAGUGAGGGGAGGAGUCCCGCGGUAGUCGUUGAGCACGGCGACCGGGCGUCCGCGCCAAGCGUUGCGUCGCCAGGGGUCACCCGCCGGAAGGCGGGAGGUCCUGGGCGGUCAAGGAGGGGUGCACGGCUCAGGCCCGAACUCCUGUAUCUGGCAGGCUUUCUCUGCCUGGCCGCGACGCGCCGGCCUCGUGCGUCGCGGCUUUUCGCAACAGAGCGCGUCUAUGU
Molecule: signal recognition particle RNA, 284 nt
Filed under: Ancylostoma ceylanicum
Lineage: Eukaryota; Metazoa; Nematoda; Chromadorea; Rhabditida; Ancylostomatidae
Description: Metazoan signal recognition particle RNA
Rfam family: Metazoan signal recognition particle RNA
About the family: The signal recognition particle (SRP) is a universally conserved ribonucleoprotein. It is involved in the co-translational targeting of proteins to membranes.
Source: Rfam by way of RNAcentral